AAAAGAAAGCCGGCCGUCCUCCCUCCUUUCUCUUUCCGCAGGUCCGGAAAUCUGCUUCGGGCAUUGAACUCCUCAGCUCUAUCCUUGACAGAAGACCCGCGCGCUCCUCUCGCAGCUAAUUUGGGAUCAUUAAUUUAAUCGGAAAUGAGGUGUGAGGGAAUCUUCUUCGGAGGGGUGCACCUUGCCAACAGGUGUGGCACCUGAAGGAAGAGAAGGCACGUCUAUCCAGAGGGAGCUCGGUGCUGCGUUCUCCUUGUUGCAGAUAAUUCUGGAAGCCCGGGAGGUGUCGGGGCGGCAUUUGACCUCCUUCAGGUGCUUAGAACUAAGCGUCUAGAAACAUGAUCCCUCUGCGUACAAUUUCUCUCUGGAAGCCGCCACUAUUGACUGUAAGCUAUCUUUGAGAGACCUUUUGGCUGGGCUUACUUAUGACCUAACGGUUGGUCACCAACUGAAGCAGGACACAGAAUCACCACGAGAAGUGUGUCCGUUCUUAAACAACUCUGCAUUGUACAGCUAACGUGCUUCGGAAAUAAAAAUAAGCAGACAAAUGAGGAAGGUGUGGAGCCCCGGAAAUAUUUUUUUCUCACAUUUUGAAAUACCAUGCACAUAUACAUGGCUAUUUAAAUAGAACUACUACUGUUCACUUUGACUCGUUUCUACCACUUUUUUUAUUUUUUUCAUUUAAAAAUCAAUGAUUGUUACGGCUUAAAACCUCGGGUUGGUCUGAAGUGACAUUGUUGGUCUCAUUACAGCCUCUAGUGGACAGCUAACAUUAGUUUCCUGAAAAGGCUCUGCCUGAUUUUGUUUUGUUGACAAGAUUUGUCAAGGUGAAGGUUAAUAUUUCAGAGCACAAUCGGGUACUAUCUCUUCCCACCCCCCACUUGGCAAAGCCGGCUUCUGAAAGAAGCAGAAGCUCGUUGACUCUGCGUGGAAAAGACGUAUGCUUUGUGCUGCAGGUAUUAUUAUUACUGGCCUGUGAAUAAACAGAGAGCUUCUGCUAUUCAUUUCAGUUUUAGACAGCUUUCAUAAAAACUAAAUUCAUCUAAAAUAUUUUUAUAACAGAAAAUAUUGGUUGCCAUGUUUUUGGCUUAACUGAGAUGUUUUUAUUCCAACUCAUAAUCUGCAAACUGUCCAAUCCACCUCCACUCUAUUUUUAGACGUCUUACAUUUAGAGAAUUUUCAGUAAAAAAAAAAAAAAAGAACUAAUAUUGUAAUUAUUACAUUGGCACGAGCAGUUAAUUUACGUUAUUUUAACAACCUUAAACAAAUUAAAAUACAUAAUUCAGAUUAGAGUUCGUCAAUUAAUUUAAAUGUUCCCUCAAGGAAGCUAAAUAUGUAUAUUACCCAAACAGUAAAAACAAGUAAUAAGAAAUGUGUCAUUUACUUUCGUAGCCAUUAAGAUUAAAGCCAUAAACCAUCCCUAAAAUCUGUAACUAUUUCUUCCUGCAAGGUCCAACAUAAACACCAUACUCAUGAAACAGUUUCAUUACGUUUUAGUACUAAAAUGUUUUGUUUUCAGAUGGCAAAAUAUUAACUGUACAUUCACAAAUAACAGACACGGAUUCUUUAAAAACAAGACUUUCUCAUGCAAAUAAAAACUCAGUGAAAAAAGGGCAGAGCUUUCAAGAAGCCAGUAGGCAAGUACGUAGUACUAUAGCCCUCACACACUUCAUAUUAUAUUUGUGCAAGCAUUAGCCAACCUUUGAAAUUAAAGAAAUUGAGAAAUAAGGCCUGUUGAGCCUUACUCUUAACCUGUGUUCUAGAUUGCUUAAACACCAUGAAAAAUACUUUUAAUCCCUUACAUCUAUUUUACUGUUUUCAUGGUAUCUACUCUUAAAGGUUUAAAAUGAGUCAGCAAGUAUAUGUUAUAUCAUGUAAUUAUAUAUUACACCCUCAUUUCUUAAAGUGUAGUCCUCAGAGUAGCAGCAGCAGUGGCAUGGAGAAGUUUUUUAUACAUUCAGAAUCAAAGGUUCCACCCUAGACCUAAUGAAUCAGAAUCUGCCUUUGAACCAGCCCCCUGGGUGAUUCCUAAGAACAUUAUAGUGUGAAGGACACUGGUCUAUACUACAGGGCUCAGCCUAGAUGAAUUUGGGCACAGGUGCAGAACUUAAUUAUUCUAUUUUUUUCUCCCUUAGUAUUAAUACCUUUUAUUAAUUUGGGCUUUUCAAUGAAAAAUUAUUACAUCACAUGCUUUGGAUAAAUCGAACUUCAUUUCCGAGGAGCCCUGAUUUAUGCACAAAUUUGCAUCAUCGCUGCCAAAAGGGAACACUCUGCUGAGGAAUGUGGGGUCUUGAACGUUAAUGUUUUCUUCGUGGCAGCAGAGGGAGCACAAGAGUGCUUAAUAAGACCAGUGCACAAGGCCCUCCAAAUUGUGACAGAUUUUAAAUCGUAGUGUAUGUUUUCCUUUGGAAGUAGCCUGUUAUGUAGUUCAAAACAAAGCAAAACGACCAAAACAAACAAGAAAACACAAACAGCUUACCAGGUUAUAACAACUAAAUAAUUGAACAGAUUGGAAGCUAAAUCAAAUAAAGAUACACUUCUUCAGAGUUUUAGGCUUGAAAUCUUAAAAAAGAAAAAAAUGGACCUCUAAAGUCAAAAAGAUGUCUUAGCUUUGUUGUAGUCAAAAAUAAAGAUAACACAAUACAAAAUAAGACAACUCUAAGAAUAACUCCUAUUUAUCUAAAAAUGGAAUCAAUUUACCCAAUCCUACAUCAGGUAUGUUAAUUUCAUCUGAGGUCACACAUAUUGGUUAAAGUACAUGCACUUUUUACCACUUGUUUUCACAAUAAUUUUAGGGGCCUGUCAAUGCUUGUAGUGGUGAGAAUUUAGGUUUCAAUUAUAUCUAUGUGGCAUUUCAUACUUUUCACAUCUCUUUUGUAUUAAACCCGCAAAAAUCCCUUGAGACAGAUAAGAUUCGUAGUAAAAGCUAAGCCUCAAAAAGUUAUGGAACCUGCUGCUUUCAUAACAUUGAGUCAUUUAAUUGUUUCAAUAAUCCUUUGAGGUGUUUGUAAAUGGAGGAAAUCAUAGAGGUUAAAGCUCCAGUAGCAUGUUUUUCACAGUUUUAAAGGUUUUUCAAAUUUACUAUCAGUGAAUAUUUGAUAAUUGAGUAUUUAAAGAGAUUAAGAAAAAGACUAUGUCUUAAUUCUCAAAUUGCUUUUUAUGUAUUUAUUACUUAUUUACCAACAGCCAUUUAUUGCACGUCUCCACUCACUAGGCCCUAAGAAUAUAAAAUUGAGGCAGACGUUUCAAUCUGCAAGAAAUUCAGAGCAAAACAAAUCUUACUUUGGGGAAAAUGUUAAUUUUUAUCAUGGUGAAAUACAAAGAUUCAUAGCUAAUUGAUCUGGCACCCUGCAGAAUCUCAUCAAUCAGACUUCCAAAUUUAUGAGAAUCAAAUACUAGAAUCAUUGAAAAUUUAGGAGGUGGGCAGGUAAUUGUAUCAGUCUUGAGCAAAAUUUGACUUAUAAGCUAAUAUUAAUAUUUCAAAUGUGUAAAAUUAUAAAACAAAAUGUAAAGCUAUGUGUAUUUUAUCUGAAUGUCUUCCCCAUCAAAAAAUUGUAAGAGUAAGUUAAAGUGGUAAACAUUUAUUUAUUUUUAUCAUUUUUAAAGUGUUAAAAAGAAUUUCCUCCCACACUAAAGAGGGUUUGCCAAGAUUGUGCCUUGGAGCAAUUUGUUAUGGCUGUGUAAUAAGUCCCGGAAAGUUUGAAUUUUUAAUGGAAAUGCUGACAGAAUAAAGAGGGUGCGAUCCUACAUAUGUCAUUUAAAAAUCUGAGCAAACCAUAGUGUGCUAGCAAAACAAAUAUAUUUUCCUUAGAUUACAUCCCAAAUAAAGCUGGCAAGACCAGAAAAGGAAAAUAAACUAAAAACAAAAGUGAAAACCACUCACACAAUAGACUGUGAGGUCAGCUUACCACACCCAGACUAAAGUCACUGGGCUCUGCACAGAAUCUCUUAAGAACAUGCUUAUGACUCAUCUGUCUUGACCCUCUACCAAACUGAAGCAGGACAGACUUCCUGGUAAUAAAAAUGACAUCACCAAUAUGCAAGAGUGGAAUCAAAUUAUUGUAUUUAAACAUCUUCCAACAACAUAGGAUUUAAUAGUACCCACCUUUGGCUAUUUCAAAUAAGACUCUGUCUAUGAUUAAAAACAACUAAAGAGUACUUUCUUACAAGUCUGCACUAUCCAAUAUGGCUAUUGAACACUUUAAAUGUAGUUAGGCCAAACUGAGAUGUGCAGUGUGAAAUAUACCUCAGAUUUUAAAGACUUGGCUAAUAUAUAUGUACAUGCAGACACAACGUCUCAAUAACUUUUGUAUUGAUUAAAUGUUGAAAUGAAAAUAUUCAGAGUAUAUUGGGUUAAAUAAAACAGAUUGUUAAGCUUCA
Molecule: non-coding RNA, 4380 nt
Organism: Microcebus murinus (gray mouse lemur)
Lineage: Eukaryota; Metazoa; Chordata; Mammalia; Primates; Cheirogaleidae
Source: RefSeq, a predicted model, not a curated record